Etheostoma cragini (Arkansas darter) is the source of this 2498-nucleotide long non-coding RNA. RefSeq lists it as uncharacterized. NCBI's taxonomy places the organism in Eukaryota, Metazoa, Chordata, Actinopteri, Perciformes, Percidae. The transcript is spliced from 2 exons. The record is from RefSeq and is a predicted model, not a curated record.
UUCCCUUUGGCUCAGUGUCUCUCCUUCAAUCUUGAAAGAGUGUGUAGACUUCCUGAAUCAACCUGAGCCCCUGAAUACACUUAUUCAACAUCACAAACAUCAUGGCCACAAAGUUAAACAUGUUUUAUCUUCCUCUGGUUAUGAUUGCAUUCUUUCCAGCCUGUCCUUUCACCUACCAUAUGUGGAUGAUGACAAAGGAGACACACUUGGUGAGUUGAAAAAGAAGAAAGAAGAAAAUUCCAAGGUGAUCAAUUCAGAAUUGUUGCGGAAUAACGAUAUAAACGGACAGAAGCAUGUUAUUGAUCUGACUGAAGACCAAGGAUCUUCUGUUGAAGUAAUACUUCAACCUUUUGAUGAGAGUGAGUCUAAUGACAUGGACAAAGAAUGGUUCCACCAUUUGAAAACUGGCAGUACGACAUCCUCAACAACCUUCAAGUGUCUGCGGCACAGAGUUUGGUUCCCCAAGAAAACUAAAGGAACACAAGAUUACCCCUAAUGGUUGCUGUACAAACGCAACGAGUCAUUCGAAUUCUGUGGCCCAAAGUAGCUUUUUUGAGAAAAUAAAUGUACAUGUUAAACCAAAGUUUUUUGAGAAUAAUGCUUCUAGAAGUGAGAACAGGCUUUCAUCAUGUGCCACAACAAAUAACCCAUCAAAUAUAUACAGACUUCCACAUUUUGAGCCGUCUAAUGAUGACUCUUGUCUUGUUUGUCAUGUUUGUGGCAGGGCUUUCACUUACCCAAAGAAUUUUGACAAACACCAGAGGACUUGUGUGGUUAGUAGUAAACGACAAGCUGAGACAGACCCACAGUGUUCCACUAGCUUAGCUCAUCACUCCAAACCAAACCCUGUUGAUAACGCAAAAGAAUCCUUCUCCAAGGAAACUAGGCUUUCAAAUGUUCUACCCUGGGAAUUAAUAUCUCUUGACUCACCACAAGAGCAGAUGUGUAAAAGAAGCAGUUGUGUCAAACAAUGCUCCGCAUGCGGGAAUGUAUUUACUUGUUCUGUUGAUUUGAUGAGGCACACGAGACGCCACACUGAACACAGUCCUUUCCUUUGUUCUUAUUGUGGGAAACACUUUGACAACUACAGAGACUGCGAGACACACCAGGAAGGUAAAUGCAGAGCUUCACACCAGCUUUCACGAGAAAAGUAUUCGUGAAACGCAAAUAAAAGGGAUCAGGAGAAUACCGUUGUUUCAAGGUGUAUAACUCAGGUCCCAACAAUCCGAGACGCAUCUGCUAAUUCACAGACUAAAUCACCUCUGACAUGUUGAGCAUGUGGCCAGGCUUUCACUUACUACAAGAGUUUUGAGAAGCACCAGAGCAGAUGUUCCAAAAGAGCUCCUCGAAGGAAAAAGCCAACAAAUGCAAACCAUUUCGUUAUCGAUGCUUGUAAUUUCCGAUCAGCUGACAAUUCUGUUGGGAGACAUGAUGAGGCAAUUUCUGAAACAAAGGAAAAUGAAACGGCAAAAACUCUGACCUCAGCAGAACAUGCACCUGACUCCCAGACUGAAUCUCGCCCUAUCAAGUGCACCAUGUGUAAGAAGAACUUCUCAGAAAUGGUCCUCAUGAAAAGACAUUAUUCCAAAUACCAUAAAGUUAAAGGCUCAUACCCCUGUCCUUUGUGUAAGAGAUCUUUUGUGAGUUGGUUCGACAUCAGCAAAACAAAAGAUUGGACCAGUGUGCCGCCUGCAAGAAAUGUUAUACAAAGCCAAGACUAUUAAAUGAUCAUGAAAAAGUCCAUAGCGCAAGUGUGGCACCACGCAUCUGUGAAAUGUGUGGGUAAAGCUUUAAAUCUCUCGCUCAUCUGAUUCUACACCAGAGCAAGCAUGGAGAACGGCAACCUAGUGUUUGUUCCUACUCUGGGAAGCAGUUCAGUACAAAAGACUGCCUGAGAGCUCAUGCGGUGAGGCACACAGGUGGUUACCCGUGCCCUGUCUGUGGGAAGAAAUUCUACCAAAAAAACCUACCUGAAAUGGCAUCUGUAUAAACACACGGGGCAAGAGCCGUACCUUUGUGACACAUGUGGGAAAGGCUGGCAAAGUGCAGCGCAGCUCAAGCUUUACAUGAUUGAACAUACGGAGGAAAGGCCGUCCAAGUGCGAGGACUGCGAUGCGUGUUACAAGAGGGGAUCCCAUUUGAUGGCUCACCGCAGAGCCAAACAUAUCAGGUUGGGGCCAUUCGUGUGCGAGGUUUGCAGCAAAGCCUUUAGAUUAAACGGCGAGCUAAAAAAACACAUGAUGGUUCACACAGGGUUCAACGGCCAUUAACGUGUCCAAGGUGUGACAAAAGAUCCACGAGGAAUUCGCGCCUUAGGGAACAAAGAGAAACAGCAUGUCUUUAACUUCAUACUACAUACAGUACAUGUACUAUAAGUUCUAUCAACUAUGUCUCAAUGCUGUAUAUCUAUGAGGGCUUUAAUAACAAAGCUACAGAUGUGUGUAUAAACUACAAACAUUUUUCUGAUUUUGUAAUUGGUUUUCAUUCACUGAGAAUAA